UAGGGAAUCUUCCGCAAUGGACGAAAGUCUGACGGAGCAACGCCGCGUGAGCGAAGAAGGCCUUCGGGUCGUAAAGCUCUGUUGUUAGGGAAGAACAAGUACGAGAGUAACUGCUCGUACCUUGACGGUACCUAACCAGAAAGCCACGGCUAACUACGUGCCAGCAGCCGCGGUAAUACGUAGGUGGCAAGCGUUGUCCGGAAUUAUUGGGCGUAAAGCGCGCGCAGGCGGUCCUUUAAGUCUGAUGUGAAAGCCCACGGCUCAACCGUGGAGGGUCAUUGGAAACUGGGGGACUUGAGUGCAGAAGAGGAGAGUGGAAUUCCACGUGUAGCGGUGAAAUGCGUAGAGAUGUGGAGGAACACCAGUGGCGAAGGCGACUCUCUGGUCUGUAACUGACGCUGAGGCGCGAAAACGUGGGGAGCAAACAGGAUUAGAUACCCUGGUAGUCCACGCCGUAAACGAUGAGUGCUAAGUGUUAGAGGGUUUCCGCCUUUAGUGCUGC
Molecule: ribosomal RNA, 502 nt
Filed under: uncultured Bacillota bacterium
Lineage: Bacteria; Bacillati; Bacillota
Description: bacterial SSU rRNA
Rfam family: Bacterial small subunit ribosomal RNA
Source: RNAcentral